GAAUUCAACUCCUACGGGAGGCAGCAGUGGGGAAUUUUGGACAAUGGGGGCAACCCUGAUCCAGCAAUGCCGCGUGCGGGAAGAAGGCCUUCGGGUUGUAAACCGCUUUUAGUCGGAAAGAAAAGGCACGUCCUAAUACGACGUGUUCUUGACGGUACCUGAAGAAUAAGCACCGGCUAACUACGUGCCAGCAGCCGCGGUAAUACGUAGGGUGCAAGCGUUAAUUGGAAUUACUGGGCGUAAAGCGUGCGCAGGCGGUUGUGUAAGUCAGAUGUGAAAUCCCCGGGCUCAACCUGGGAAUUGCAUUGGAGACUGCACGGCUAGAGUGUGGCAGAGGGGGGUAGAAUUCCACGUGUAGCAGUGAAAUGCGUAGAUAUGUGGAGGAAUACCGAUGGCGAAGGCAGCCCCCUGGGAUAACACUGACGCUCAUGCACGAAAGCGUGGGGAGCAAACAGGAUUAGAAACCCCGGUAGUCCAGGCGUU
This 483-nucleotide ribosomal RNA is filed under the name uncultured bacterium. Its description in RNAcentral is "bacterial SSU rRNA". It matches the Rfam family "Bacterial small subunit ribosomal RNA", at positions 328 to 803 of the family's 1533-position model. The record is from RNAcentral.